CUCCUUCACUGACCGUGAAGUGGAAAUUCAAAUUGUAACUUCUCAGCAAUGGUAAUUCACGACCAAGAAUUGCUCUGCUCUGUGCAAGAAGGCCUAACUGCAGAGUAGGUUAAAACAGCCUAAAGCAAGAACACCAGAGACAGAACGAUUCCAUGUACAAGAGUCAUUUCCCUUAUUGAGAAGGUUAGCCCAGUUGCUGUUCCAUUUCUGCAAUUCCUGAACUGUGAAGAUCCAACCAUUACCAGCCUCCCACCACUUCAACUCAGACUUAAGAGGAAAAUGAAGUUAUUUGAGAAGACAACAAACACGGGAGAGUAAAGAAGGUCAGAUGUUCAUCUUUGCCUCUUGUUGCAUUGUAAAACAGAGAAACAACCAAGCAACCUACUACACAAACAGGAAUGGAAUGAAAAUGUAAUCUGCACGGGUAGAAGUUUUGUGGCAGCAAACCCAUGAUCACACAUUGCAGCUCUCAAGCUUUCAGUACUCAUGCCAUUCAUACCUCUGCCAGUUCUUGUUCAUUCACGCUGCCUGUAGCACUGGCUUUCUUUCCUGAAGUUUCAUUGUCAGAUCCGCUGGCGUCCCCUCUAGCAUAGCUAUGGACUGUAAGCACCCCGGCUGGCCCAGGUAGAGUUCUUUUUGGCAACAGAUCAGUUGACUCAGAGUCUGAAGACCCAGAAUAUGCUGGUGAGCUGGGCUGAACACUGGAAGGUGCUCUCUGCUUUGAGGUUGGCAAAACUGAAGCAGAAUUUGAAGCAUGCGAAAUGGAAAGAUCCAACACGGCGGCCUCUUGCUCUUCCUCUUCUUCCUCCUCAAGCUUCACCACUUUCAGUUCUUCAGAUUUAGCCAUGCCCACACGAUCUAGAAGAUAGGAUAUAUUGACUUUUUCUCAAGUCUGGGAAGCAGAGAGAACAGCCCAGCACCGCUUGCACAAAGUCAAAUAGGAAAGCAGACUAGACAAAAAAAGAUACGUGAUGCUAAAUCAUGUAAACAGUAGAUCAUUAAUUCAAACAUCAAUAGAGAAUAACCUAUGUAUCCGCUCACUGCAGCUUACAGUACAGGAACUAGGGUAUUUCCAACAAUGGUCAGAAGGUGGGCUCAAAACAAACAGAAAUAGAUGGUCUCUUACAUGAUGUAACUGAACACUGCAACUCCUGGCCACCUGAGGCUGGGGGUGAGAGCUUACAAGGGCUCAAGGGAGACUUAAUAGAGAAAACAAAACAAACAAAAAAAACCAACACCAAACCAACAUAGGAUUAUUAAAUACAAGUUGCAAAUUGAGGGAAAACAGAAUAUGAGAGAGAAGCAUCAUUAUGUAUUUGCCCUCUUCUUAUAUUGUUCCAUAGGCACCCCGAUCCUUCCUAUCCAAGAGGGUGUAACUGUCCUACUACAAGCCAUAUUAAUUUUCUUCUGACAUACUAAUUACAUAAUUACCCAUCUGUACAGCAUACCAGGGCCAUACUACCAGGCAGUAUGUAUGAACAGGUCACAUUGUACAACAGUGAUAUAUAGAGGACUGUACACUACUGACAUGUCCAAUACAUUUCUAUAUGCUGGCAGAAAUAAAUAAAUAAAGCUAUGAACACCAAUCUCUUAAGCAA
Molecule: long non-coding RNA, 1598 nt
Organism: Gallus gallus (chicken)
Lineage: Eukaryota; Metazoa; Chordata; Aves; Galliformes; Phasianidae
Exons: 3
Source: RefSeq, a predicted model, not a curated record